This 497-nucleotide ribosomal RNA is filed under the name uncultured bacterium. RNAcentral describes it as "partial 16S ribosomal RNA". It matches the Rfam family "Bacterial small subunit ribosomal RNA", at positions 28 to 507 of the family's 1533-position model. The record is from RNAcentral.
GAUGAACGCUGGCGGCGUGCCUAAUACAUGCAAGUCGAGCGAACAGACGAGGAGCUUGCUCCUCUGACGUUAGCGGCGGACGGGUGAGUAACACGUGGAUAACCUACCUAUAAGACUGGGAUAACUUCGGGAAACCGGAGCUAAUACCGGAUAACAUGUUGAACCGCAUGGUUCAACAGUGAAAGACGGUUUUGCUGUCACUUAUAGAUGGAUCCGCGUCGCAUUAGCUAGUUGGUAAGGUAACGGCUUACCAAGGCAACGAUGCGUAGCCGACCUGAGAGGGUGAUCGGCCACACUGGAACUGAGACACGGUCCAGACUCCUACGGGAGGCAGCAGUAGGGAAUCUUCCGGAAUGGGCGAAAGCCUGACGGAGCAACGCCGCGUGAGUGAAGAAGGUCUUCGGAUCGUAAAACUCUGUUAUUAGGGAAGAACAAAUGUGUAAGUAACUAUGCACGUCUUGACGGUACCUAAUCAGAAAGCCACGGCUAACUACGUG